This 497-nucleotide ribosomal RNA is filed under the name uncultured bacterium. Its description in RNAcentral is "partial 16S ribosomal RNA". It matches the Rfam family "Bacterial small subunit ribosomal RNA", at positions 28 to 507 of the family's 1533-position model. The record is from RNAcentral.
GAUGAACGCUGGCGGCAUGCUUAAUACAUGCAAGUCGAGCGGACAGACGAGGUUCUUGCUGCUGGCACGUUAGCGACGGGUGGGUAAGUAACCCGUGGAUGACCUACAUAUAAGGCUGGGACAACUACGGCCACAUGGAGCUAAUACCGGAUAAUAUAUUGAACCGCAUGGUUCAAUUGUGACUGACGGUUUUGCUGUCACUUCUAGAUGGUACCGAGCCGCAUUAGCUAAUUGGUACGGAAACGGCUUACCAAGGCAACGAUGCGUAGCCGACCUGAGAGGGUGAUCGGCCACACUGGAACUGAGACACGGGCCAGACUCCUACGGGAGGCAGCAGUAGGGAAUCUUGCGCAAUGGGCGAAAGCUUGACGCAGCAACGCCGCGUGGGUGAUGAAGGUCUUCGGGUCGUAAAGCACUGUUAUCAGGGAAGAACAAAUGUGUAAGUAACUAAGCACGUCAUGACGGUACCUGAGGAAAAAGCCACGGCUAACUACGUG